This 254-nucleotide ribosomal RNA is filed under the name uncultured bacterium. Its description in RNAcentral is "partial 16S ribosomal RNA". It matches the Rfam family "Bacterial small subunit ribosomal RNA", at positions 524 to 776 of the family's 1533-position model. The record is from RNAcentral.
UACGAAGGGUGCAAACGUUGCUCGGAAUUAUUGGGCGUAAAGCGCACGUAGGCGGCUUUGCAAGUCGGAUGUGAAAUCCCUCGGCUUAACCAAGGAAGUGCAUCCGAAACUGCAGAGCUUGAGUACUUAAGAGGAUCGCGGAAUUCCCGGUGUAGCGGUGAAAUGCGUAGAGAGUCGGGAGGAACACCAGAGGCGAAAGCGGCGACCUGGACAGGUACUGACACUCAACUACGAAAGCGUGGGGAGCAAACAGG